GCCCAUCAGCAAAGGCCUGAUGUACAAUGAACCUUUACCUGAAGGGGGUACCCAACGUUUGUUAGCCGAAACAGUUGCCUUCACUGCUUCCACAAACUGAUCAACAGUUGGCGAUUGCAUGCACAUCCUCUCUGCACCCAUCCUCAUCCUCAACGCAUUUUCCUCGGGACGAAAGAGAAGAAUAGAACCAUCUUCUUUUCUGU
Molecule: unclassified non-coding RNA, 203 nt
Filed under: Hevea brasiliensis (rubber tree)
Lineage: Eukaryota; Viridiplantae; Streptophyta; Magnoliopsida; Malpighiales; Euphorbiaceae
Source: RNAcentral